Molecule: ribosomal RNA, 437 nt
Rfam family: Bacterial small subunit ribosomal RNA
ACGGAAGGCAGCAGUGGGGAAUAUUGGGCAAUGGGCGAAAGCCUGACCCAGCGACGUCGCGUGAAGGAAGAAGGCCCUCGGGUUGUAAACUUCAGUCAGCAGGGAAGAAACAAAUGACGGUACCUGUGGAGGAAGCCACGGCUAACUACGUGCCAGCAGCCGCGGUAAUACGUAGGUGGCGAGCGUUAUCCGGAUUUACUGGGUGUAAAGGGUGUGCAGGCGGGUUUGCAAGUCAGAUGUGAAAAUUAUGGGCUUAACUCAUAACUUGCAUUUGAAACUGCAGAUCUUGAGUGUCGGAGAGGUAGAUGGAAUUCCCAGUGUAGCGGUGAAAUGCGUAGAUAUUGGGAGGAACACCAGUGGCGAAGGCGGUCUACUGGACAAUUACUGACGCUGAGACACGAAAGUGUGGGGAGCAAACAGGAUUAGAUACCCUGGUA